GCUCCAAUCGUCUAGCCCGGUCCAGGACGCCGGCUUCUCAAGCCGGUAACACGGGUCCAAAUCCCGUUUGGAGCA
RNAcentral lists this transfer RNA (75 nucleotides) under Microcaldota archaeon. Its description in RNAcentral is "tRNA-Glu". It matches the Rfam family "tRNA". Rfam says of the family: Transfer RNA (tRNA) molecules are approximately 80 nucleotides in length. Their secondary structure includes four short double-helical elements and three loops (D, anti-codon, and T loops). Further hydrogen bonds mediate the characteristic L-shaped molecular structure. tRNAs have two regions of fundamental functional importance: the anti-codon, which is responsible for specific mRNA codon recognition, and the 3' end, to which the tRNAs corresponding amino acid is attached (by aminoacyl-tRNA synthetases). tRNAs cope with the degeneracy of the genetic code in two manners: having more than one tRNA (with a specific anti-codon) for a particular amino acid; and 'wobble' base-pairing, i.e. permitting non-standard base-pairing at the 3rd anti-codon position. The record is from RNAcentral. Lineage: Archaea; Nanobdellati; Microcaldota.